Mustela erminea (ermine) is the source of this 603-nucleotide long non-coding RNA. RefSeq lists it as uncharacterized. The transcript has 4 exons. The record is from RefSeq and is a predicted model, not a curated record. NCBI's taxonomy places the organism in Eukaryota, Metazoa, Chordata, Mammalia, Carnivora, Mustelidae.
UAGAUAGUAUCAUCCCUGUGAUUUUUCAAAGAUGAGGAAACUUGAGUCCAAAGGCCACAUGCUAAUAAACGAUAUUGGAACUCUGGUAUAAUUAGAAUUGUCUGACCACCCUGGUAAUGGAUAUCCUAACUUUGAGGGUCUAUUUUGUUGAUGCACACAAGCUUCAACUGAGCAAUGAUACCAGUAGAUGCCCAGACAUGAUAGGAAAAUUCAUGCAAGUGAAACCCACAAACAGAGAAGUGAAGAUUCAGCUUCUCCUGAGUGACAACCCAGAGGCAGAAGAUGUUAUGAACACAUUGCUCAACACCAUAAAGAAAAUCCUAGGUGUGUUCAUGACCUCUGUACCACCCUGAUGAAAGUACCUGGCAUGAGUCUGAUCACUUGUGGGCAAUGUCUUAUUUGCUUUGUGUCCCCAGUGCCUAGCGUGGUAGACCCAGUAAAUGUUUGUUGAACUCAGCAGCAUCUCCUCGAGCUCUCUAAGGAUUAGUUCAUUCCAGAGCCACAAUGAGCAUGAGCAGUAUAGACUUUCACUGAAGAUUUCACAGCAAAGAUAAAAGAAAGAUUUUACAUUGUACAUCCUACAACAAAUAACUUUAAUAAACA